UAAGCUAUUUACCUAACCUCAAAUACCGUGCUAAAAGCCAAGAACAUGGUGGCAGGUGACCUAAUUGUACUCAGCUAUCAGUUUACUCAGAUCCAGGAGUGAUGCCAGGCAAACACAGACUGCUGUAGGAACCAGUGCUUUGUGACAGCUCCUCUUCCCACCUUCCCUGCUGCUGCAGCUGGUUGGCAUCACAGAGAAAAGCAAGCAGAAGGCUCUCAACCUGCCUAAAGCCUCUGCAAGUGGUCAGUGUGCUCUGCCGAUUGAUUUUAACUCACAAUUCCUCUCUUCCUUGAAGAGUAACCAGGCUAGGUCCCUUAAGCACUGCCCAUAAUGCCAACCUAAACCUCUUCAACUCCAUAACCUCCUCAGACUUGUCAGACUGUGAAGAAAUCACCAGGACUUUGUGGCCAGGGAGAAUGGAGGCCCUCGAGGGCAAGAAGGAGCUCUAAGAAGUAUUCAGAUAACAACCUGGGGGCUGCAUUUCUUCAGCCAGAGGUCAGAAGAGUUCAGAGGCUUUGGGGAUGACCAACAAAACUAUUAGUUGCAGAUAUUCCAGAAAUAUGUCUGGAAAAGGUCUUCCCAGGCCUGCUCAGGACCAUUGCUAAAGCCAGCUGUGGACUCAUACCAGACCUGAAACACUGGAAACCUGCUGAACAAGGAUGGCAGCUAUAAACAGUGCAGUGAAACUCUAGCUCUUGAUUGCCCAAAAUUCAGCUAGAAGAUCAGACUUCAGCCAGGAGCUUUGAGCGACUCCAUAAGGAAUAUCAACAGGGACAAAGCCUUCCCCCUCACACACUAUGACCUCUACCAGUGAGAAGAGGUUUGGUAGGGGGAAGUGGUUGGUUUGACUUGGGGGGUGAAUUUUGUUCUUUUUCAGCCAUCAAAGCAUUAGACUUCUCAGGAAUAAAACACAUGGUAAACCGACAAAUUUGUUCAAUCUCCUGACACACUGUCCUUAGCAUGACCAGCAGCUCAGAAGAUUUCAGAUCUGUCAACCCGUGCCAUGGCCCUACCUUAUGAAGCAGAGAUGCCGUGUCACAGCAGUAUAUUCUUACCCAAGGGUCCAGUAGAAACAUGCCACGUUGCCCAUUCAAGCAGAGAGCAAGGCCUGGUUUCAGAUACAACUUUUCAGAUAAAACUUUUCAGAUGUGGGUAGAGCCAGUUGUGACAGAAUAGUAAAACUGAAAAGACAAGCUCUUGAUGAAGCUUUUUCCGAAGUCUAGAGUGCUGCUAUGGAGACCAUCCUUGAAAGCAGGCUCAGUGCCUGUUUUGCAGAGCUUUCAAGUUUUACCACAGGGAAGGAAAGUGAUCUUUAGAUUUUGCCCUGUUGCCUGAUCUAUUGCUCUAUGUCUUGUUCCUGCCUCACCAGGGCAACAACUUCUUAUUAUCUGUAUUGUUUCAGCUAAUUAUUCCAUUAAUGAUUCAGCUAAUAUAGUUUAAUACAGGAAGUGUAGAUGUCACAUCAUUAAACAAUUAUUUACGUAUUCUAGACCUUUACCAUAAUCCAACUUGAGAUUUGUUAAUUUAUUUCUCCUCUGGUGUUUAUGAGGUAUGACAUCCUGCAAGCAACUAAUUCUGGGUCUCUGUUCUCUUUGAGAUUUAAUCAGCGUUUGAGACUUACUUCUGGUAUUAUGCCAGGAUAACUAGAAAGCAAGAACAAGCAAGCUUUCCAGCAUUUGGCAGCUCCUUUAAAACAAGUAGAAUUUUAGCAGUUGAUGUGAAACCCAUAAAAACCUUUCAAAAUCUAGCAGUUCUUUCUCACAUCAAAAAAAAAAAAAAAAGAAAAACCAAAUUAAAAAAUAAACCUCUUGCUUAUACAAGCUUGA
Taeniopygia guttata (zebra finch) is the source of this 1826-nucleotide non-coding RNA. The record is from RefSeq and is a predicted model, not a curated record. NCBI's taxonomy places the organism in Eukaryota, Metazoa, Chordata, Aves, Passeriformes, Estrildidae.